Molecule: small nuclear RNA, 93 nt
Filed under: Nippostrongylus brasiliensis
Lineage: Eukaryota; Metazoa; Nematoda; Chromadorea; Rhabditida; Heligmosomidae
Source: RNAcentral
GUUCUAUUCCCGAACGUAUACUGAAAUUGGAACAGUACAGAAGAUUAGCAUGACCCCUGCGCAAAGAUAGUUCGCGAAGCGUUCCUAAAAUUU